RNAcentral lists this ribosomal RNA (1268 nucleotides) under actinobacterium kmd_151. RNAcentral's name for it is "bacterial SSU rRNA". It matches the Rfam family "Bacterial small subunit ribosomal RNA", at positions 60 to 1340 of the family's 1533-position model. Lineage: Bacteria; Bacillati; Actinomycetota; Actinomycetes. The record is from RNAcentral.
AGUCGAACGAUGAUCUCCAGCUUGCUGGGGGGAUUAGUGGCGAACGGGUGAGUAACACGUGAGUAACCUGCCCUUAACUCUGGGAUAAGCCUGGGAAACUGGGUCUAAUACCGGAUAUGACUCCUCAUCGCAUGGUGGGGGGUGGAAAGCUUUUGUGGKUUUGGAUGGACUCKCGGCCUAUCAGCUUGUUGGKGAGGUAAUGGSUCACCAMGGCGACAACAGGGAGCCGGCCUGAGAGGGKGACCGGCCACACUGGGACUGAGACACGGCCCASACUCCUACRGGAGGCRGCAGUGGGGAAUAUUGCGCAAUGGGCGGAAGCCUGAUGCASCGACRCCSCGUGAGGGAUGACRGCCUUCKGGUUGUAAACCUCUUUCASUAGGGAAGAAACGAAAGUGACGGUACCUGCAGAAGAAGCGCCGGCUAACUACGUGCCAGCAGCCGCGGUAAUACGUAGGGCGCAAGCGUUAUCCGGAAUUAUUGGGCGUAAAGAGCUCGUAGGCGGUUUGUCGCGUCUGCCGUGAAAGUCCGGGGCUCAACUCCGGAUCUGCGGUGGGUACGGGCAGACUAGAGUGAUGUAGGGGAGACUGGAAUUCCUGGUGUAGCGGUGAAAUGCGCAGAUAUCAGGAGGAACACCGAUGGCGAAGGCAGGUCUCUGGGCAUUAACUGACGCUGAGGAGCGAAAGCAUGGGGAGCGAACAGGAUUAGAUACCCUGGUAGUCCAUGCCGUAAACGUUGGGCACUAGGUGUGGGGGACAUUCCACGUUUUCCGCGCCGUAGCUAACGCAUUAAGUGCCCCGCCUGGGGAGUACGGCCGCAAGGCUAAAACUCAAAGGAAUUGACGGGGGCCCGCACAAGCGGCGGAGCAUGCGGAUUAAUUCGAUGCAACGCGAAGAACCUUACCAAGGCUUGACAUGAACCGGUAAGACCUGGAAACAGGUCCCCCACUUGUGGUCGGUUUACAGGUGGUGCAUGGUUGUCGUCAGCUCGUGUCGUGAGAUGUUGGGUUAAGUCCCGCAACGAGCGCAACCCUCGUUCCAUGUUGCCAGCGCGUUAUGGCGGGGACUCAUGGGAGACUGCCGGGGUCAACUCGGAGGAAGGUGGGGACGACGUCAAAUCAUCAUGCCCCUUAUGUCUUGGGCUUCACGCAUGCUACAAUGGCCGGUACAAAGGGUUGCGAUACUGUGAGGUGGAGCUAAUCCCAAAAAGCCGGUCUCAGUUCGGAUUGGGGUCUGCAACUCGACCCCAUGAAGUCGGAGUCGCUAGUA